CAGUAGCCGCGGUAAUACGAAGGGGGCUAGCGUUGUUCGGAUUUACUGGGCGUAAAGCGUGCGUAGGCGGCUUCUUAAGUCGGAUGUGAAAUCCCUGAGCUUAACUUAGGAAUUGCAUUCGAUACUGGGAAGCUAGAGUAUGGGAGAGGAUGGUAGAAUUCCAGGUGUAGCGGUGAAAUGCGUAGAGAUCUGGAGGAAUACCGAUGGCGAAGGCAGCCAUCUGGCCUAAUACUGACGCUGAGGUACGAAAGCAUGGGGAGCAAACAGGAUUAGAUACCCCCGUAGUCCCUGUCUCUUAUAC
Molecule: ribosomal RNA, 301 nt
Filed under: uncultured bacterium
Lineage: Bacteria
Description: partial 16S ribosomal RNA
Rfam family: Bacterial small subunit ribosomal RNA
Source: RNAcentral